RNAcentral lists this ribosomal RNA (478 nucleotides) under uncultured bacterium. RNAcentral describes it as "bacterial SSU rRNA". It matches the Rfam family "Bacterial small subunit ribosomal RNA", at positions 28 to 521 of the family's 1533-position model. The record is from RNAcentral.
GAUGAACGCUGGCGGCGCGCCUAACACAUGCAAGUCGAACGGAGAACAUUUAGCAAUAGAUGUUCUUAGUGGCGGACGGGUGAGUAACGCGUGAGGAACCUGCCUUUCGGAGGGGAAUAACACAUCGAAAGAUGUGCUAAUACCGCAUAACGUCAUUGGGUGGCAUCAUCUGAUGACCAAAGGAGCAAUCUGCCGAAAGAUGGCCUCGCGUCCGAUUAGAUAGUUGGUGAGGUAAUGGCCCACCAAGUCUGCGAUCGGUAGCCGGACUGAGAGGUUGAACGGCCACAUUGGGACUGAGACACGGCCCAGACUCCUACGGGAGGCAGCAGUGGGGGAUAUUAGUCAAUGGAGGAAACUCUGAACUAGCGACGCCGCGUGAGGGAAGAAGGUCUUCGGAUUGUAAACCUCUGUCUUCGGGGACGAUAAUGACGGUACCCGAGGAGGAAGCCCCGGCUAACUACGUGCCAGCAGCCGCGGU